GAAAUAACUAUAGGAGGUCCAGCCUGCCCAGUGACUAAGUUAAACGGCCGCGGUACCCUAACCGUGCGAAGGUAGCGCAAUCACUUGUUCUUUAAAUGAGGACUAGUAUGAAUGGCAUCACGAGGGUUAUACUGUCUCCCUCUUUCAAUCAGUGAAACUGAUCUUCCCGUGAAGAAGCGGGAAUACAUCUAUAAGACGAGAAGACCCCAUGGAGCUUUAAACUCAGUACCAACUGCCCCCUAAUACACCCUCCUAAUUAAGCAGACAUGACUACUAGUUUUCGGUUGGGGUGACCGCGGAGCAAAACAAAACCUCCACGAUGAAAGGAAUUAACCUCCUAAUCAAAGAGCUACAUCUCUAAGAAUCAACAAAUUGACAUUUAUUGAUCCAAUUUUUUUGAUCAACGAACCAAGUUACCCUGGGGAUAACAGCGCAAUCCAUUUCAAGAGCCCCUAUCGACAAAUGGGUUUACGACCUCGAUGUUGGAUCAGGGUAUCCUAGUGGUGCAGCCGCUACUAAAGGUUCGUUUGUUCAACGAUUAAAACCCUACGUGAUCUGAG
RNAcentral lists this ribosomal RNA (560 nucleotides) under Scaphiophryne boribory. RNAcentral describes it as "partial 16S ribosomal RNA". It matches the Rfam family "Bacterial large subunit ribosomal RNA", at positions 1836 to 2609 of the family's 2925-position model. The record is from RNAcentral. Lineage: Eukaryota; Metazoa; Chordata; Amphibia; Anura; Microhylidae.